AGAACGAACGCUGGCGGCAUGCCUAAUACAUGCAAGUCGAACGAAGGCUUCGGCCUUAGUGGCGCACGGGUGCGUAACGCGUGGGAAUCUGCCCCUUGGUUCGGAAUAACAGUUGGAAACGACUGCUAAUACCGGAUGAUGACGAAAGUCCAAAGAUUUAUCGCCAAGGGAUGAGCCCGCGUAGGAUUAGCUAGUUGGUGAGGUAAAGGCUCACCAAGGCGACGAUCCUUAGCUGGUCUGAGAGGAUGAUCAGCCACACUGGGACUGAGACACGGCCCAGACUCCUACGGGAGGCAGCAGUAGGGAAUAUUGGACAAUGGGCGAAAGCCUGAUCCAGCAAUGCCGCGUGAGUGAUGAAGGCCUUAGGGUUGUAAAGCUCUUUUACCCGAGAUGAUAAUGACAGUAUCGGAGAAUAAGCCCCGGAUAACUCCGUGCCAGCAGCCGC
Molecule: ribosomal RNA, 445 nt
Filed under: uncultured soil bacterium
Lineage: Bacteria
Description: bacterial SSU rRNA
Rfam family: Bacterial small subunit ribosomal RNA
Source: RNAcentral